RNAcentral lists this transfer RNA (96 nucleotides) under Candidatus Nitrosocosmicus oleophilus. RNAcentral's name for it is "Candidatus Nitrocosmicus oleophilus tRNA". It matches the Rfam family "tRNA". From Rfam's summary of the family: Transfer RNA (tRNA) molecules are approximately 80 nucleotides in length. Their secondary structure includes four short double-helical elements and three loops (D, anti-codon, and T loops). Lineage: Archaea; Thermoproteati; Nitrososphaerota; Nitrososphaeria; Nitrososphaerales; Nitrososphaeraceae. The record is from Rfam by way of RNAcentral.
GCCGUCGUAGCUCAGCCUGGAAGAGCACUCGACUGUUUAAAUUGCAGGGUGAAGCUGAAGACCGAGCUGUCGUGAGCUCAAAUCUCACCGGCGGCA